Molecule: ribosomal RNA, 475 nt
Filed under: uncultured bacterium
Lineage: Bacteria
Description: bacterial SSU rRNA
Rfam family: Bacterial small subunit ribosomal RNA
Source: RNAcentral
CGAACGCUUGCGGCGUGCCUAACACAUGCAAGUCGAACGAGAAAGCCCUGCUUGCAGGGUGAGUAAAGUGGCGAACGGGUGAGUAACACGUGAGUAAUCUGCCUUAGGGACAGGGAUAACAUCCCGAAAGGGGUGCUAAUACCUGAUACGAUAAAGACUUCACAUGGAGACUUUGUGAAAGGUGACCUCUUCUUGAAAGUUGCUGCCCUUAGAUGAGCUCGCGUACCAUUAGCUUGUUGGUGGGGUAAAGGCCUACCAAGGCUAAGAUGGUUAGCUGGUCUGAGAGGAUGAUCAGCCACACUGGAACUGAGACACGGUCCAGACUCCUACGGGAGGCAGCAGUGGGGAAUAUUGCGCAAUGGGGGAAACCCUGACGCAGCAACGCCGCGUGAGUGAUGAAGGCCUUUGGGUCGUAAAGCUCUGUCAGGUGGGAAGAGAACGGACGGUACCACCAAAGGAAGCACCGGCUAACUCC